Molecule: long non-coding RNA, 1000 nt
Organism: Capsicum annuum
Lineage: Eukaryota; Viridiplantae; Streptophyta; Magnoliopsida; Solanales; Solanaceae
Exons: 3
Source: RefSeq, a predicted model, not a curated record
AUCACAAAUUCACGACGACAGAUUGAGCAUUCGGUCACAAUAAUUAUAUUUUCUCUCAAUUCCGUCACAACAGUUAUCAGCACACAAGAAGAAGGUAAUUAAAUCUCUUUUCUCUCAAUUAUACUCCCUUGCUUAAGUUAAUUGAAUCUCUCCUUCGAAGUUCCCACAAAUUAAAGCUUCAAUUUUAGAACCCAACCAUUUAGCUCAGAAUCAAAUACCCCAACUGAAUUUUGGUACUGUUUCCUCUGAACAUUGCUCAAAGCAUUUGGCCGGGAAAUCUUCAUGGACACACACAAUUGUCUGUUGAAUCUAAAGAUUUGAACAGUGAAUUGAAGCUAUGUGGAUGGACAGUGUAAAAAAGGAUGGCAGUUUUGUUGAUGCCAAGUCGAAGAGCAUUAAUGAUAAAAUGGAGGUUGUCAUAGCUACUGCUCUUUUGAGAUCAACAGAUGAUUCAUCAGAAGAUUCUGAUCAAGAAACUCGAUAUAAAUCCCAUGUACUUUGAUGUUGCGGGGGAGCAAAAAACUGACGUGUGUAUGGAUUGGGAUCUCAGGCUUCAACCUUGUAUAAAGAUAUGACAUGCAAUUUGCCUAUAGUUGUCCGAUCAUGUUGCCGAAGAGCGCAUCAAAAUACUUGAGAAGAGGUGUCGUAUAUGAGAGAAAAUCAAGAGAGAGUUCUUCAAGAGCGUGUAGAGUCGGAGGUGCAACAACGAGUAGAGCAAGAGGUUUUCCAAUUGAGGCAACAAAGUGAUGAUCGAUUCAAAUCUAUGGAGGAGCAGUGGUCUCGCAUGAUGAACGAUAUGACAUCAUCUUCUCGCUCAUUUAGUAAUCCUACUCUCCCUAAUAGGGACUCAUCUUAUGCUUAAGUGUUUAAUAUUUUGAGACUUUAGUUACUUGAAGUGUCGACUUGAACAUUGUCACACUUUUUUGAAUAGUUAUAUGCUUUAAAUUUUAAACAUUGGUAGACUUUUGCUUAUUGAAGUUGUGAUUUUGCAUGUUUUAAC